Molecule: non-coding RNA, 73 nt
Organism: Prionailurus viverrinus (fishing cat)
Lineage: Eukaryota; Metazoa; Chordata; Mammalia; Carnivora; Felidae
Source: the annotation of a RefSeq genome assembly
GCCUGGUUGGCUCAGUUGGUAGAGCAUGUGACUCUUGAUCUCAGGGUCAUGAGUUCAAGCCCCACAUUGGGCC